GACAGGGGAUGCAAGCGUUAUCCGGAAUGAUUGGGCGUAAAGCGUCUGUAGGUGGCUUUUUAAGUCUGCCGUCAAAUCCCAGGGCUCAACCCUGGCCAGGCGGUGGAGACUACUAAGCUGGAGUACGGUAGGGGCAGAGGGAAUUUACGGUGUAGCAGUGAAAUGCGUAGAUAUCGUAAGGAAGACCAGUGGCGAAGGCGGGUCUCUGGACAGUUCCUGACACUGAGACACGAAGGCCAGGGGAGCAAACGGG
This 253-nucleotide ribosomal RNA is filed under the name uncultured prokaryote. Its description in RNAcentral is "partial 16S ribosomal RNA". It matches the Rfam family "Bacterial small subunit ribosomal RNA", at positions 524 to 776 of the family's 1533-position model. The record is from RNAcentral.